GGGGGGGGGGGGGAACUGCCCAAAAGGAGCCGAUGCAAAAAGUGGCCGGAAAAGGCUCACGCGCGUGGCGCGUGGGAGUCGCCGACGGCGCGUGGAUGGUCAUCGCUGGCGCGUGGGGCAGAUUCCGGCGGUGGAAUUUACAGGGGUUGCGCGCCUGACGCUGAGCGUCACGGUGGUGAAGGAGGUGUCGAAGGAAAAAAUACCGAAACCAGUGCGAAUCUUCGCCGGAACAGUGUUCCGAGCAAAGAGAGGGAUAGGGAUAAGGAUACUUUCCUCUUAAUUCACAAUAAUGUGGUUCCCCCCGUACCUCAGUUCAACUAUUUUGAAUCAUUGAAAAAGUGCCUCGUAUUUAUCGUAUAA
This 360-nucleotide long non-coding RNA is filed under the name Nicotiana benthamiana. RNAcentral's name for it is "long non-coding RNA (NBEN_LNC034955)". The record is from RNAcentral. Lineage: Eukaryota; Viridiplantae; Streptophyta; Magnoliopsida; Solanales; Solanaceae.